AGCGGCGGACGGGUGAGUAACACGUGGGUAACCUGCCUGUAAGACUGGGAUAACUCCGGGAAACCGGGGCUAAUACCGGAUGCUUGAUUGAACCGCAUGGUUCAAUCAUAAAAGGUGGCUUUYAGCUACCACUURCAGAUGGACCCGCGGCGCAUUAGCUAGUUGGUGAGGUAACGGCUCACCAAGGCGACGAUGCGUAGCCGACCUGAGAGGGUGAUCGGCCACACUGGGACUGAGACACGGCCCAGACUCCUACGGGAGGCAGCAGUAGGGAAUCUUCCGCAAUGGACGAAAGUCUGACGGAGCAACGCCGCGUGAGUGAUGAAGGUUUUCGGAUCGUAAAACUCUGUUGUUAGGGAAGAACAAGUACCGUUCGAAUAGGGCGGYAC
This 389-nucleotide ribosomal RNA is filed under the name Bacillus licheniformis. RNAcentral describes it as "bacterial SSU rRNA". It matches the Rfam family "Bacterial small subunit ribosomal RNA", at positions 94 to 478 of the family's 1533-position model. The record is from RNAcentral. Lineage: Bacteria; Bacillati; Bacillota; Bacilli; Caryophanales; Bacillaceae.